AGAGUUUGAUCCUGGCUUAGGAUGAACGCUAGCUACAGGCUUAACACAUGCAAGUCGAGGGGCAGCAGGACGAUAGCUUGCUAUUGUUGCUGGCGACCGGCGCACGGGUGAGUAACGCGUAUCCAACCUUCCCCUUAGUAGGGCAUAGCCCGGUGAAAAUCGGAUUAAUACCCUAUGUUGUGUCAUGAGGACAUCUGAAUAACACUAAAGAUUUAUCGCUAAGGGAUGGGGAUGCGUCCGAUUAGGUAGUCGGCGGGGUAACGGCCCACCGAGCCCUCGAUCGGUAGGGGUUCUGAGAGGAAGGUCCCCCACACUGGUACUGAGACACGGACCAGACUCCUACGGGAGGCAGCAGUGAGGAAUAUUGGUCAAUGGGCGUAAGCCUGAACCAGCCAAGUAGCCGUGCAGGAUGACGGCCCUAUGGGUUGUAAACUGCUUUUAUACGGGGAUAAAGUGAGGGACGUGUCCCUUAUUGUAGGUACCGUAUGAAUAAGGACCGGCUAAUUCCGUGCCAGCCGCAGC
RNAcentral lists this ribosomal RNA (522 nucleotides) under uncultured bacterium. RNAcentral's name for it is "bacterial SSU rRNA". It matches the Rfam family "Bacterial small subunit ribosomal RNA", at positions 8 to 518 of the family's 1533-position model. The record is from RNAcentral.